Molecule: ribosomal RNA, 295 nt
Filed under: uncultured bacterium
Lineage: Bacteria
Description: partial 16S ribosomal RNA
Rfam family: Bacterial small subunit ribosomal RNA
Source: RNAcentral
ACUUGAUGAUGGGUGUGCGGCUGAUUAGAUAGUUGGCGGGGUAACGGGCCCACCCAAGUCUACGAUCAGUAGCUGAUGUGAGAGCAUGAGUCAGCCACACGGGCACUGAGACACGGGCCCGACUCCUACGGGAGGCAGCAGUAAGGAAUAUUGGACAAUGGACGAAAGUCUGAUCCAGCCAUGCCGCGUGAAGGAUUAAGGUCCUCUGGAUUGUAAACUUCUUUUAUAUGGGACGAAAAAGGGCAUUCUUGUUCACUUGACGGUACCAUAUGAAUAAGCACCGGCUAACUCCGUG